AUUGAACGCUGGCGGCAGGCUUAACACAUGCAAGUCGAGCGGGGUGAUGGUGCUUGCACUAUCACUUAGCGGCGGACGGGUGAGUAAUGCUUAGGAAUCUGCCUAUUAGUGGGGGACAACGUCUCGAAAGGGAUGCUAAUACCGCAUACGUCCUACGGGAGAAAGCAGGGGAUCACUUGUGACCUUGCGCUAAUAGAUGAGCCUAAGUCGGAUUAGCUAGUUGGUGGGGUAAAGGCCUACCAAGGCGACGAUCUGUAGCGGGUCUGAGAGGAUGAUCCGCCACACUGGGAAUGAGACACGGCCCAGACUCCUACGGGAGGCAGCAGUGGGGAAUAUUGGACAAUGGGGGGAACCCUGAUCCAGCCAUGCCGCGUGUGUGAAGAAGGCCUUAUGGCUGUAAAGCACUUUAAGCGAGGAGGAGGCUCUUUUGGUUAAUACCCAAGAUGAGUGGACGUUACUCGCAGAAUAAGCACCGGCUAACUCUGUGCCAGCCGCCGCAGUAA
RNAcentral lists this ribosomal RNA (503 nucleotides) under uncultured bacterium. Its description in RNAcentral is "partial 16S ribosomal RNA". It matches the Rfam family "Bacterial small subunit ribosomal RNA", at positions 30 to 523 of the family's 1533-position model. The record is from RNAcentral.